GUCCCCGGACCGCCGGCUCGCCGGGCAAGCGCUGGGACCCCGAGGCCAGUCCAGGCAUCUGGAUCUCCGACACAGAGGCAGCCACGCAGUGAUUCCCUGGCGACCCUCAGACUCACGUGUUCAGCCCGGACACUCCGCAGGCUAUCUUCACCGCGUCCCGCGGCAGCCCAGCCUUCCCCGCAGCCGCCUCCGCCCACUCGCCCGCGCCGCGUCGUUUGUCGGCCGGCACCAGCCUUGCGGCCCCAGCUCCGCCCUCCUGCAGCCCAGGCCCAGCAGCUCCGGAACUGGCGCCCUUUGGCGCACCCGCCUCGCUGCCCAUGGCCUCCGCCUGCCUCCCCUGCGCUCAGCUCCCGCUUCUGGUCCCUGUAGCAAAGCUGGAAGGCAGGCCUGCAAGGCAGCCCCUUGCUCCGUGGUCCCUCUCACCAUCAUAAUGUUCAUAUUAAAUAAUUAUCUUUACAUAACUUUGAAUACUUAUGUUAUUGGUUCUGUUUUUGGCAAAAUGUAAUAAAAUUUCAUGGGUCCGAAAGUUUUCAUUUUUUCCAAUGUGAGAAAGAAAAAUAAAACCUUUUCUUCUACCCUAAA
RNAcentral lists this long non-coding RNA (582 nucleotides) under Homo sapiens (human). RNAcentral describes it as "non-protein coding lnc-THEM6-3:1". The record is from RNAcentral. Lineage: Eukaryota; Metazoa; Chordata; Mammalia; Primates; Hominidae.